RNAcentral lists this ribosomal RNA (468 nucleotides) under uncultured bacterium. RNAcentral's name for it is "partial 16S ribosomal RNA". It matches the Rfam family "Bacterial small subunit ribosomal RNA", at positions 28 to 507 of the family's 1533-position model. The record is from RNAcentral.
GACGAACGCUGGCGGCGUGCUUAACACAUGCAAGUCGAACGGAAAGGCCCUGCUUUUGUGGGGUGCUCGAGUGGCGAACGGGUGAGUAACACGUGAGUAACCUGCCCUUGACUUUGGGAUAACUUCAGGAAACUGGGGCUAAUACCGGAUAGGAGCUCCUGCUGCAUGGUGGGGGUUGGAAAGUUUCGGCGGUUGGGGAUGGACUGGCGGCUUAUCAGCUUGUUGGUGGGGUAGUGGCUUACCAAGGCUUUGACGGGUAGCCGGCCUGAGAGGGUGACCGGCCACAUUGGGACUGAGAUACGGACCAGACUCGUACGGGAGGCAGCAGUGGGGAAUAUUGCACAAUGGGCUGAAGCCUGAUGCAGCGGCGCCGCGUGCGGGAUGACGGCCUACGGGUUGUAAACCGAUGUCGCCGGUGACGAAGAGGGAGUGACGGUAAUGGGUAAAGAAGCACCGGCUAACUACGUG